Long non-coding RNA from Apis cerana (Asiatic honeybee), 6929 nucleotides. RefSeq lists it as uncharacterized. The record is from RefSeq and is a predicted model, not a curated record. Lineage: Eukaryota; Metazoa; Arthropoda; Insecta; Hymenoptera; Apidae.
GGACGACACAAAAAAAAUUUAAUGCAUCUUUCGAUGCGUUAUGAAUAAUCUAAAUCUAAAUGUACAUCUCUUUCGAAAAUAAAGGGAGAAAUCGUUCGUGGAGGAUUUUUCUCAAUGCGGUGGAAAAUAAUCGAGACGCUUAAGUGCAGAGGUGUAUGUGAUUUUUAAAAAGUGUCAAUUAACGCCUGUUAAAAUGGGACGCGUUCGUUCCUUGAUUUCUCUUUUUUUCUUUUUUUUUUUUUUCGAAUAAAAGAACACGUCGAUGCAUUCAAUAUUACAUCCAUAAAAUUCGAGACGCUAUUCGUAAUUUACUGUUUUAUCACGGAAAAUCUCGUGAAUCUCGCGGAAACGUUUAAAACGAUUCGUUCGACGUGGAACUAGAAAGGUAGUUUAAUUGGUACUGGUACAAGGAUUCGAAUCGCGUUGAUUAAAAUAUUUGAUUGCACGUUUUGAAAUUUUUAUUUUGAGAAGGAACGGUUGAAAAAUGGUAAUUUAAACAAUAUUUGUUUAAUUCUAUAAACUUGCUAUGUAAAAUUUAUACGAGAGAUAGACAGAAUUAGAUAACCAAAUUGGCCUCGGAUAAUAAUAACAUUCCAUACAUACAGUAAAAAUAUAAAUCAGAAAACUUGGAAAAAUUGGAAAUUUUCAACUUUCCUUCUAUAGAUAAGAAAAAUUAGAAAAAAAAAUUAUAAUAACUUGUGCGAGAAUUAUAAAAUUACUGCAACUUUUCCACAACAACAGAUAUAUCUAUUUGCACCAACGAGAACCAAUCUAAAAUUGAAUUUCUAUUUCUGAAUUCGCGGAAAGAAGAAAAAAAAUUAAAAAUCCCCUUUCUUCCUCUCUUCCCUCUCCCCUCCAUUCCUAGUAUUCCUGGAUGACGAAAGAUCGCGGCCCCGAAGCGAUAUUUAUGAUCUGAAACGGUGGAGAAGGACUGGUUGGAGAUACACAACCCGUCAAGUCCCCGUAACUACAUUGAAAAGGGGGAUUUCACGCUCGUCGCUCAAACACCGACACGGAUACACAAGCGUAGCCGGCGAUUCCGUUUUCUCUGCGAUUUGCACAAUAUCGCGUACGUCAGUGUCAUUUGCAUUCUCCUAUUGCAUUCAUCCUCAUCCCACCGAGCCGAGUUGGAAAGAAUCGUUUCGAAAAAAAAGUGUCCACGUUCAAAAUUCGAUAUAUCCGGCUCUGUGUGUGUGUUUUUUUUUUCUAUUUUUUUUUUACCUUCGUUCAAUCGGUGGAAAUUCGAAAGAUUCGAUUGAAAUUUUUUCCGUUUCGUUUCAUCGUGAUAUUUAAUUUGCAAAUGUCGAAGUUUUUUUUUUAAAUGUAAGUAAAAUUAAAGUUCAAAAAAGUAAAGUAGAAAAAUUAGAAGUUGAAUUUCGAAAAAAUGAUAUUUAUUAUGGAUCGUUCUAGGAUCGUUUGAAAUUUGAAUAGAGGGCGGGAAUGGCGUGGAAAAAUGGCGAAGCUAAUUUUUGAAAACGAAAAUUGUUCGUUUUUAAAUUAACACCGAGAUGAAAGUUAAUCAAGUUAGUCUAUAUUUUCAGAAUUCUUUUCUUUUUAUCCUUUUUUUACACUCUAUAAAUAUUCUUUAGGGAAGGAUUUUAUUUUUAUUACUGUUUUAUCGGCGAUUUCCUCCGCAUUCCUCUCGAUUCUAUUUUAUUGGAAAUCGGUUGAUGGUGGAUUUUCCAGAUUAUUUUUCGUUUCAUUUCCCAUCAAGAUAAACGAGCGAGAAGUUUGAUGAUAUUGAAGUUGUUUCUCUCGAUUAUUUGUAGAUUUAAAUUAAUUUCUAUAGAGGGUAAACAAUGAUUUAUAGGAAAUUUUUCUAAUUUUUCUAAAAAGAUAAAACGAACUUUUAUGAGAUGAGGUUGUUUUAAUAUUGGAUACGUUUCGAUAAAUGGGGAAAAUUUCUCGCUGAUUAAAUGACAAAUGUAUGAUCAUUUAAAGAAAAAAUGAAACGAAUUUUAAAUAUAUUUCUUUUUCGUUGGAAAAUUUUGAGAAAUUUUAAUAUCGAAAUUAUUGUAGAAAUAAAUUGUACCUUUAAAUAAUUCCGUGAUCGUUAAAAAAAAUAUCUAAAACCUGUAUUAUUUUCAUCGCGUUAUUUAUUAUCGAAUUUAUCACUUUUAUCUUGUCAAAAUUAAUUUCUUUUGUUAUAUUUUCCAGCUUGUAUAAAUUUUUAUUAUUAAUUUUUUAUAUCAAUUCUGAAAUAUAAUGCGUAUAGAUUAAUAACAAUUCACAUUGUUUACAAAAAAGAACACUAUAUUAUUUAAUCUCCAAAUUUAAUCAAAUCAUCGAUCAAAAACUUGUUAUCAAUAUCAAAAAGUAGUUUAAAUUCAACCUUUCAAGUAAUGGAUCGAUAAAAAUAUUUUUAGAAAUGUUUUUAUAAAAUAAAAUGUCUCGAGAACAAUGGCAGAUGUUGAAUAAAGUUAAAUAAAAAAAGUUAUCGUAUCACGCGAAAGUCAUCGUGGAAAAUUUUCACAAAAUUAUCGAACUUCGAAUUCUUUCCAUUUCGAAAAAAUUAAUUUGAAAAAUAUUUUCAAAACUUAUCGUUUUUUUUUUUGUUAAAUAUUCAUUUUAUUCGAGGUAAAAGGAAAAGUUUGGUGAAUAUUGUUAGCGAGUUAGGUGCAAUUACGAGCAUUAUGCUCCCUCUUGUUGUAAACUUCGCUCUCUCUCGACAUACUAGUCACCCUAAUGAGUGCUAUGUGCUUAGGAAUACGAAUGCUUAAAGCUAUUACACCAUUUUCAUGCUGAGUGUUCAUAUUUGUCAAAUUGCAAUGUGUGAAUUACGAAUUCUACGAGAAGAGAAAUUCACAUAAUGAUAUUAUAUUAAAUUUUAAAAAGAUUUUAUUCUCCAUGCUUAACAAAUUAACUUAUUUUUGGUUAGAAAAAAUAAUUAAUCCAAAAUGUUUAUUACAAUCUUCUUACCAUCAACCGAAAUGUGAUUUCUUAAUUUUGACCAAUGAUUAAUUAUUUUACCGUGAUAUUUCUUUUUCCCUUAAAUUUUAUUUUUUUUUUUUUAAAUUGCACAAAUACUCGAAAAAUACUCAAUGGAAUUCUUCGGUAUUGAUUUUAGCUUACUUUUAAGCCAGCUUUAUUUUCGAUGUAUAUCAAAAAAUUUUAAAUUUCAAAAAAAUAAAAACUUCCUAGUUUUACCUAUCUUAUUUUCAAGAUAAAUUUUUGAAAAUUUAUAAUAACUAGAAGAAGAAUUAACAAAAAUUUUCACUUCAUUUUGCAAAAAAGAACACUUUUUAUAAAUUAAAAAAUUAUGUCACUGGAAAAAUUAAAAAUCUUUUCAGUGAAUACACUUUCUUAGGGAAGAAUGAUAGAGAAAUUCAACUUCUUCGCACGAGUUAUCUAACUUUUAUUUGAGUUAUUAGCUUCGUCGAGGGAAACUUUGAACAUAUUCCCCCACGAUAAACGUGGAACAAGAUCUAUUUAAAAUACGUUCAACGAUUGUUACUCGUGUUCAACGAUGUUCCUCUGAUACGAUAAUCAUCCACGAUAGAUAAAUAAUUUUAUGUUGAAAUAACGCUCGAUGAGCGAAAUUUAAAUAAUCAUAAUUCAUUUUCGUGCUUUAAUCUGCCAUCUUCGAUCAUUGUAUUUCUUUCGUAUUUUAUUAGAUUAGAAAACUGGACUGAUCUAAUCUACUCUCAUCUGUUUAAAUUAUUCCAAUAAUCCAAUUGAAAUUCUCAUAUUCAUUCUCGAUCGAUAAGUAAUACUGCGUCGAUUUAUUUCUUUAAAAAGAAAAAAAACAGAGAGAAAGAGAGAAAAUUCAAUAAAAAUCGAUCAAAAAAAAUGUCAAAUAUUUAAUUGAAAAAUUUUCACGCGUGGACGAAGCUUACAUCCAAUCGCACGCUACGUUCGAAGAAAACAGACGGAUAAAUAAUACAUAACCCCCGAGAUAGUAUCCUCCCUUCCUCCACGUUCUUUUCCACGGCAAUCACGAAAUGGCGUUUUUUUUCUUCUUCCUUUUUUCUUCUUUUUUUUUUUUUUUUUUUUUGCCGGAAGACACGCAAAUGACUCCGGUUUUGAUACGAUCCGCAAGAAAAACGAAUCCACACGCGACACUCGAAUCCCCGUGCACUCGGCUGUUCCAAUAACAACCAUAAUUCCGGACUUUCUGCCGUGUCGAGCGAAUUUUUCCCCGGGUUUUUUUUGCCCGGCUCACCUCUGUCUUCUCGGGAAUAAUCCAUGAAAGUGGAAUCGAAAAUUUCCGAUUCGAAAAUCCUCGGAGAGAACCGGUAUACGAAAUUUUUUCCCGAAUAUUCCUCCAACUAAAUUAAUUAAAACACGGCUCCCGCAUAUUGGAAUAAGAGAUAUAAUUGUUUUGCCAUGAUUAGAGUGAAAAUAAAUUAGGAAUAACUUUCUGGAGGAAAAAGAGAACAACGGAACACGUACAAGAUAAAGUAUCGAUAAGUGAAUCAAAUCAAAAAUUCACCUAAAUCUGUCCUAAAUCCUCCUAAAUUUUAACAAUAAUAAUCCAAACAAAUACGGUAGAAUGAAACUACCAUUCGCUAUUCGAGGAAGCGCAGAAGCAGGGAAAAUUCUUUCGAAUUACACCAAUUUGAAGGAAGACAGAGCGAACGCUCUAAUUGGAAAUAUUUUCGUAAUUGGGAAAUCCUCGAGGAUCCGGUUGGAUCCAUCACCGGGUUGAGGAGGAAGGAACAAUCCUCGUGUGACAAUCCCCGUUUCCGGCCAGCCAUCCGUCGGAAGUUCGGAGGGGGAGGUUGUCCAAACCGCCGGAAUUCGAGCUGUAAAUAUAGUUUCGUGGGAGUGACGGGGCGCGAACGAGGCAGAAAUUCGAUUUUGCCUCGCGGAAUCUGCGGUCCGCAGAGGUGUUCCGCAGGAACGUAACGACGACAAAGCGUGGAAACCACGCGUGCCAUCUCGGCAAUCCGGCUGUCCUAACUAGGAGGCCGAUAAAUGGACGGCUUGAUGACUUGAUAAUUUAUGAGAGGAGGAUUUAUGAGAGGAGGCUGGUUUAAUUGAACUUUCGUAAUCGAGCAAGUUAAAGUUUAAGUUAUUUUUGGAUUUUUGAAUUAUCGAAAUGGUAAUUACGAUUUGUUAUAUUUGGAUCAAAGGUUUAAUUUAUUUGAUAUUCCUACUCCAAUUCAAAAGUGAGAGAUUAUAGAUACGUAUGGAAUGGUAAAAUUUCAUCCGUGGAAGAGUUAUGUGAUAAUUGUUAAAUUAAUUCGUAAGAAAGUAAGGAUCCAAGGUCUUUAAAAGGUCUUGUUAAGCCCUGUUCGAAGACGAAGUUAAGCCGCAGUCGUGUAUACCGAAAAUUUUCUACCAAAAACAUUCCAUUGGCGUAGGAAAAAACUUACUUUCACGCUUUAAUUGAAGGAAAACAAUUUUUCAGAAGAAUUAUUAGAGUGGAGAUGGAAAGAGAGAGACGAAGAAUGAAGAGAAAUAAUAAAAAUUUCAAAAUAGAAGGCAGAAAAUGACAAUUAGAUUGUACAAAUGAAGAGUGGAAAAUUAUUUUGUAGUCUUAUGACUUUACCAAAAGAGGGAGAAAAAAAAGAAGAAAAUAUGCAUGCGGUAUAAAAUAUUCAAAUAAAGAAAACAGUGGAAAACUGAAGGGUACUCUUAUUUUUAAUUGUAAAAAAAAAAUGAAGAAAGUUUUCGGAACAACAGGGAAUUAAAAAUUCCCUUAUAACUUUAUCCAAACAAAAGAAAAAUACAUCAAAUAUUGAAUACCCAAAUAAAGAAACCUUCGCGAUAGACAUCCACAACUUGCGAAAAAGCGAAUCAAUAAAGAAAUAGAUCCAAAUGAAAAAACUUCACAAAGAACCAAAAAAGCUGAACCUAUCUUCAACAUUCCAAAAUUAGAUUAUAAAAAUUCAAUUUCCAUCUUGCAAAACUAACUUCAAUCUCAAAAAAAAAAAAAAAGAAAAGAAACAAAAUUAAAUGGAGAAAGAAUAGAAAAAUCCCUUUGAAAAGAAAAAGAAGAAGAAGAAUCUUAAAAGAGCCAUGAAAAUUCGAUUUCUAAACAACGAAUUUCCACAACGGAACGCAAUCAAGGCGUUCCAGUUUAUCCAUUAUCGCCAACAGAGGAAUACACUCGUCCCCUACGUCGCGUUAUCUCUUAACCCGCUUAACAAAUUCCUCGCCUCGAGAUAUCCUUUUUUAUUUGCCUUUUCAUCCGUCGUUCACGCAUUGUUUCCACCAUCAUCGCCAGAUACCCGAUCGCGUAAUCAGCGCGUCGAACCCCGUACAAUAAGACAAUGCGAUCCUCCUCCUCCUCUCUCUUUCUCUCCCUCGUCCUCCUCUUUAUCCCUUUCCAUGCUUUCUUUUUUUUUCUUUUCCUCUUCCCCCGCUAUUUUUUUUAUCGAGGGGAGGGGGAAAAAGGCUCACGUCCCACGAGAACCGUUGGUUACGUUCCCAUUUAAUUAUCGGGAUUGAAUUUUCCUUCGAAGAAAGAUCGAGCCUUCCCUAUUUUUCGCGCCGAACGUACAUGGAUAUACGAAUAUGUUAUUAUGGACAAUUUCUUUUAUCUUUUUUUUUUUUUUUUAUUUGGAUCGUCGUGGAGAAUCGUAGUCGUCGAAGGAAACGGAGGACUUUUAUCGAGUUUCGAGAGCCUUCCAGAGAGAACGAACCGACGAUGGCCUAUUUUUAUUUCCGCAAUUUCGGCGCUUUGGGGAACUAGGGAGAAGGAAAAAGAGAGAAAUUGGGCGAAUUUCCGAUGAUCGAGACUUGGAGGAAUUUGUGUUGCAAUAUGGACAAACAUCUGGCAAAACUGAAAUUGUAAGGAUUUACAGAAAAGGAUUUUCAAUUUAAUUUGGAAGAUAAAUAUUUCUAUACUUAACGAAGAUUUGUAAGAUUUUCGAAAGGAAACGAUUCUUAACGAAAAUUCGAAUUAAAGAUAUUAUAAUCAAACCAAGUUCAAUUUGUCUCGACCAACAUUAAAAAAAAAAAAAAGAGAGUUAAUCGAUCUG